GACGAACGCUGGCGGCGUGCCUAAUACAUGCAAGUUGAGCGAUGAAGAUUGGUGCUUGCACCAAUUUGAAGAGCAGCGCACGGGUGAGUAACGCGUGGGGAAUCUGCCUUUGAGCGGGGGACAACGUUUGGAAACGAAUGCUAAUACCGCAUAACAACUUUAAACAUAAGUUUUAAGUUUGAAAGAUGCAAUUGCAUCACUCAAAGAUGAUCCCGCGUUGUAUUAGCUAGUUGGUGAGGUAAAGGCUCACCAAGGCGAUGAUACAUAGCCGACCUGAGAGGGGGAUCGGCCACAUUGGGACUGAGACACGGCCCAAACUCCUACGGGAGGCAGCAGUAGGGAAUCUUCGGCAAUGGACGAAAGUCUGACCGAGCAACGCCGCGUGAGUGAAGAAGGUUUUCGGAUCGUAAAACUCGGUUGGUAGAGAAGAACGUUGGUGAGAGUGGAAAGCUCAUAAAGUGACGGUAACUACACAGAAAGGGACGGCUAACUACGUG
Molecule: ribosomal RNA, 497 nt
Filed under: uncultured bacterium
Lineage: Bacteria
Description: partial 16S ribosomal RNA
Rfam family: Bacterial small subunit ribosomal RNA
Source: RNAcentral